GCCUGCGUGGCGAAAUUGGUUAUCGCUUUUGACUUCUAAUCAAAGGAUUCCGGGUUCGAGUCCCGGCGUGGGUU
Molecule: transfer RNA, 74 nt
Organism: Lodderomyces elongisporus NRRL YB-4239
Lineage: Eukaryota; Fungi; Ascomycota; Pichiomycetes; Serinales; Debaryomycetaceae
Rfam family: tRNA
About the family: Transfer RNA (tRNA) molecules are approximately 80 nucleotides in length. Their secondary structure includes four short double-helical elements and three loops (D, anti-codon, and T loops).
Source: Rfam